This 497-nucleotide ribosomal RNA is filed under the name uncultured bacterium. Its description in RNAcentral is "partial 16S ribosomal RNA". It matches the Rfam family "Bacterial small subunit ribosomal RNA", at positions 28 to 507 of the family's 1533-position model. The record is from RNAcentral.
GAUGAACGCUGGCGGCGUGCCUAAUACAUGCAAGUCGAGCGAACAGACGAGGAGCUUGCUCCUCUGACGUUAGCGGCGGACGGGUGAGUAACACGUGGAUAACCUACCUAUAAGACUGGGAUAACUUCGGGAAACCGGAGCUAAUACCGGAUAACAUGUUGAACCGCAUGGUUCAACAGUGAAAGACGGUCUUGCUGUUACUUAUAGAUGGAUCCGCGCCGCAUUAGCUAGUUGGUAAGGUAACGGCUUACCAAGGCAACGAUGAGUAGCCGACCUGAGGGGGUGAUCGGCCACACGGGAACUGAGACACGGGCCAGACUCCUACGGGAGGCAGCAGUAGGGAAUCUUCCGCAAUGGGCGGAAGCCUGACGGAGCAACGCCGCGUGAGUGAAGAAGGUCUUCGGAUCGUAAAACUCUGUUAUUAGGGAAGAACAAAUGUGUAAGUAACUAUGCACGUCUUGACGGUACCUAAUCAGAAAGCCAGGGCUAACUACGUG